RNAcentral lists this ribosomal RNA (405 nucleotides) under uncultured bacterium. RNAcentral describes it as "partial 16S ribosomal RNA". It matches the Rfam family "Bacterial small subunit ribosomal RNA", at positions 28 to 526 of the family's 1533-position model. The record is from RNAcentral.
GAUGAACGCUGGCGGCGUGCCUAAUACAUGCAAGUCGAGCGAAGCGGGGACGGGUGAGUAACACGUGGAUAACCUCCUAUAAGACUGGGAUAACUUCAGGAGACCUGAGCUCGACCGGAUACUUAUACGUGGAUCCGCGCUGCAUUGGCGAGUUGGUAAGGUAACGGCUUACCAAGGCAACGAUGCAUAGCCGACCUGAGAGGGUGAUCGGCCACACUGGAACUGAGACACGGUCCAGACUCCUACGGGAGGCAGCAGUAGGGAAUCUUCCACAAUGGGCGAAAGCCUGACGGAGCCAUGCCGCGUGAGUGAAGAAGGUCUUCGGAUCGUAAAACUCUGUUAUUAGGGAAGCGGUACCUACACAGAAAGCACCGGCUAACUACGUGCCAGCAGCCGCGGUAAUAC